Molecule: ribosomal RNA, 142 nt
Filed under: uncultured Sebacina
Lineage: Eukaryota; Fungi; Basidiomycota; Agaricomycetes; Sebacinales; Sebacinaceae
Description: partial 28S ribosomal RNA
Rfam family: Eukaryotic large subunit ribosomal RNA
Source: RNAcentral
UUGACCUCAAAUCGGGUGGGACUACCCGCUGAACUUAAGCAUAUCAAUAAGCGGAGGAAAAGAAACUAACAAGGAUUCCCCUAGUAACGGCGAGUGAAGAGGGAAAAGCUCAAAUUUUGAAUCUGGUGUCUUUGACCCCUGA